Molecule: ribosomal RNA, 290 nt
Filed under: Bacillus sp. BC2(2014)
Lineage: Bacteria; Bacillati; Bacillota; Bacilli; Caryophanales; Bacillaceae
Description: partial 16S ribosomal RNA
Rfam family: Bacterial small subunit ribosomal RNA
Source: RNAcentral
AAAGUUAGCGGCGGACGGGUGAGUAACACGUGGGCAACCUGCCUGUAAGACUGGGAUAACUUCGGGAAACCGGAGCUAAUACCGGAUAACCCUUUUCCUCACAUGUGGAAAAGUUGAAAGAUGGCUUCGGCUAUCACUUACAGAUGGGCCCGCGGCGCAUUAGCUAGUUGGUGAGGUAACGGCUCACCAAGGCGACGAUGCGUAGCCGACCUGAGAGGGUGAUCGGCCACACUGGGACUGAGACACGGCCCAGACUCCUACGGGAGGCAGCAGUAGGGAAUCUUCCGCAA